RNAcentral lists this ribosomal RNA (689 nucleotides) under uncultured bacterium. Its description in RNAcentral is "bacterial SSU rRNA". It matches the Rfam family "Bacterial small subunit ribosomal RNA", at positions 8 to 692 of the family's 1533-position model. The record is from RNAcentral.
AGAGUUUGAUCCUGGCUCAGAUUGAACGCUGGCGGCAGGCCUAACACAUGCAAGUCGAGCGGAUGAAGGGAGCUUGCUCCCUGAUUUAGCGGCGGACGGGUGAGUAAUGCCUAGGAAUCUGCCUGGUAGUGGGGGAUAACGUUCCGAAAGGAACGCUAAUACCGCAUACGUCCUACGGGAGAAAGCAGGGGACCUUCGGGCCUUGCGCUAUCAGAUGAGCCUAGGUCGGAUUAGCUAGUUGGUGAGGUAAUGGCUCACCAAGGCGACGAUCCGUAACUGGUCUGAGAGGAUGAUCAGUCACACUGGAACUGAGACACGGUCCAGACUCCUACGGGAGGCAGCAGUGGGGAAUAUUGGACAAUGGGCGAAAGCCUGAUCCAGCCAUGCCGCGUGUGUGAAGAAGGUCUUCGGAUUGUAAAGCACUUUAAGUUGGGAGGAAGGGCAGUAAGCGAAUACCUUGCUGUUUUGACGUUACCGACAGAAUAAGCACCGGCUAACUCUGUGCCAGCAGCCGCGGUAAUACAGAGGGUGCAAGCGUUAAUCGGAAUUACUGGGCGUAAAGCGCGCGUAGGUGGUUCGUUAAGUUGGAUGUGAAAGCCCCGGGCUCAACCUGGGAACUGCAUCCAAAACUGGCGAGCUAGAGUACGGUAGAGGGUGGUGGAAUUUCCUGUGUAGCGGUGAAAUGCGUA